CGCUUAUUUUUUUUUAUGUGUAAUUAAUAAUUAAUAUGUUUCUAAGUUUAUUAAAAACCCUUUUAAGGAUAUUAUACUUUCCUCCAAAUUUCCAUAUAUUAAAUUCUUAAAUUAAUUGUUUAAAUUCUGACCAGCUUCGUUUGAAGAAUAUCCCUAACACCACUUUAAGAUUAUAUACAACAUAUUGAAUCUUUAUCACCACAAUCUUUGCUACACUUCCUCUUGUCAUCAAUCUAGGUUUUCCACAUCUCCAACCGUCACUAUCAUCAGACCACUCCUCACCACCGCCGGAGCAUCAUUGCGCAUACGCACCACCAUCGCACCAUUAUCACAUCACUAUUCAACUCCCCUUUAAGUUUUCCGGCCUGCAAACCUAGGUAAGAACAACAAGAAUCAUGGCCCUAUCUUCUCUCAUCUAAUCUUAUUUUCUAACUCAUAAUUUUUUUUUUUAUGUUAAAGGUAAUUCAAUGAUACUAAUUCCAUUAAAGCAUCAUUGUCUGUUUUGUUUUAUGCUAUUUCGAUCAUCCAUUAUAUUAUUAAGUCAUAUAAAAGAUAAAACAAAAUGAAUGUUAUCUUUGCAUAAUUUUUCCUUACAACUAUAAAUUUAUGAGUAAAAUUAUGCAUGGAGCAUCAUUUAUAGCUUUAUUUAAGCACAUUGGAUGAGUUAAUGAACCAAUCCCAAAUGAUAAUCAUUAAAGGACCCUCAUCUUUUAUUAGGAACAAGGUAGAAAACCAACCUAUAAUGCAUAACAACAAUUUUGAUUGUUUGUACAAAUUAAAAAUGAUCUUUUAUUUGUAAAUAAACUGCAACUGUGGUUCUUGUGACCUGUGAGGUAACUACUAAAACCUAACUUGAACAUUCAUGAGUUGAAAAUUAUAAACUGUUACUAUAGGUUCUGGAUGAGUUGAAGACAAUCCUAAUACCACAUCUGAAAUAUAUACUUUCCAAAAUGAUGAGAAGCAGUGGUUAAUUGUGUUUGUAUCUAAAGUUACACCCAAUAAGGACCAAGCAUACAAAGCAUACAAGAGGGUACAAAAAGUUUAUGGAAAUUGGAAGGCUUCAAGUUUAUUUCAACUCAAGCAAAAAAGAAAGGUAAAGUUGCAAUCACUGAUUAAUCUAUCAUGAAUUUCAUAUUAUAACUUUUGCAUCUUCGAUGAACUCAACUCAGGACUACUAGUUCAUCAGGUGCUGCAAAAUUUGAUCUACAUAGACCUGAAAUAACUUUUUGGGAAGACUUACAACUCAAAAUCAUGGAGUGCCUUAGAAACAGUCUUGAUAGGCGUAUCCACUUUUAGGAGGAUGAGAUUCAAAAUCUCAGUGAACAACGUUUUAUGUAUGUUUGGAGUUUAUGUAUUCUUUCAUUCUCAAGGUACC
Molecule: long non-coding RNA, 1375 nt
Filed under: Lactuca sativa (garden lettuce)
Lineage: Eukaryota; Viridiplantae; Streptophyta; Magnoliopsida; Asterales; Asteraceae
Description: long non-coding RNA (LSAT_LNC003237)
Source: RNAcentral